This 1954-nucleotide long non-coding RNA is filed under the name Canis lupus familiaris (dog). Its description in RNAcentral is "lncRNA (ENSCAFG00000052705.1)". The record is from RNAcentral. Lineage: Eukaryota; Metazoa; Chordata; Mammalia; Carnivora; Canidae.
UUUUUUUUUUUUUUUUAUGGCUGAGAUAUCACCUCACACCUGUCAGAAUGGUGAAAAUUAACAACACAGGACACAACUGGUGUUGGUGAGGAUGUGGACAAAGGGGAAUCCUUUUAACACUGUUGGUACAAAUGCAAACUGGUGCAGCGACUCUGGUAAACAGUAUAGACAUUCCUCAAAAAGUUAAAAAGAACGACUCAGCAACUGCAACUACUAAGUUUUUACUCAAAGGAUACAAAAAUACUAAUUCAAAGAGAUUCAUGCAAUAUUUGUAGCAGCAUUAUCAACACUCAGCAUAUAUUCUAAGAUUUAUCUAUGAAUAGGUAAUAUGUUACCUAUUCAUCAAGACUGUAUAACAUCAGCAUAAACAAAGACACACAGAUCAAUGAGACAGAAGAGAGAGUUGAGAAAGAGGUCCAUGCAUAAAUACUCCAUUGAUUUUUAUGGCAAAUUUGCUAAGGUAAUUCAAUGAGGAAAUGAAAAUCAUUUUAUUUUUUAAGAAGAUUUAUUUAUUUAUUUAUUUAUUUAUUUAUUUAUUUAUUUAUUCAUGAGAAACAGAGAGAGGCAGAGACAUAGGCAGAGGAAGAAACAGGCUCCCCCUCGGGCACCCUGAUGUGGGAUCUCGAAACUCCAGGAUCAUGACCUGAGCCGAAGGCAAAUGCUCAGCCGCUGAGCCACCCAGAUGUCCCUGAAAAUCAUUUUAAUAGUGACUCCGGCACAACCAAAUAUUCUUAUUGAAAAAAAAAUUGCCAUCAUCUUUCAUAGCAUAGAGAAGUAAACUCAAGAUGCAUCACAGAUGCAACUAUAAAAGUUAAAACAGUAAGACUUCUCAAAAAAAUAGAACUUCUUAAAAAAAUCAAGAUAACAUUAGCAAUGACUUUUAAUACAGUGUCUAAAGAGCACUAACUUUAAAAUAACUGGUAAAUGGAUUUAAUCAAAAGUAAAAUUCUCUGUUCUUCCAAGGACACUGCUAAGAAAAUGGUUGGGCGAAAAUAUUCAACUAUACAUAAUGUAAAAACACUUCCAAAGGAAGACAUAAAAAUUGUUAACACAUGAAAAAAUGUUCAGCAUCAUUAGUCAGCAGAGAAAUACAAGUUAAACCACAAUCACAUACCAUUACAUACUAAUUAAAAUGGUAAAGAUUAGAAGUCUGAGGGUACCAGAAGUCUGGGGGAUAGAGCAAUUGGAGCUCUCAUCCCUUGCUGAUGACUUUACAACCACUUUGCAAUACAUUUUUGGCAGUUUCUUACAAAAUUAAAUAGAGGCUUAUUCUAUGUCCAAUAAUCCUCCUCUUACCUAGCAGAAAUUAAAUACAUGUUCUACAAAACACCUGUAUAUGCAUGUCCAGUACAACUUUAUUCAUAAAACAGCCAAAAUACUGGAAACAUCCCAAAGAUUCUUUAACAGAUGGCUGAAAAAAACAAGUUUUGUUAGAAUCAUAUAAUGGAAUACUGCUCAGCAUAAAAAGGGAACAAACUACUGCUAUGAGCAACAACAUGGUUGAAUCUUAGGGGGAAGAAAUUACUGAGUGAACAAAGCAAGACUCCAAAGAAUACCAUUCGAUUGAAUUUAUAUGAAAUUCUAGAAUAGGCAAUAUUGUAUAGUGACAGAAAUCAAAUCAGUGGCUGCAUAAAGCAGAAAAGAGUAGUGCUAAGGCGCACAAGGAAAUUUGGGUGGUAUGGUAUUGUUCUAUAUCUUGAUAUAUGUGUAUACAUGUGUCAAAUCUCUUCAUACUGUUACACUUAUAAUGAAUGCAUUCCUGAUAUUAUAUGUAAAUUAUGCAUGAAUAAAGUUGAUUACAAAUCAUGAGUUCAUAUUAACAUUUUCCUUCAAAAUGGAAGAUUAUGAACUUUUAUUUGGCUUGUUUACUUGUAACUUUUUUCUCUUACAUUAACGUGACUAUUUUUGCUUUACCUUAUAUUAUAUAUCAAAUACAAUUAAAAUAAUUAUACCA